CAAGCGUUAUCCGGAAUCAUUGGGCGUAAAGCGCCUGUAGGUUGUUUAAUAAGUCUGUUGUUAAAGACUAGGGCUUAACCCUAGAAAAGCAAUGGAAACUACUAGACUUGAGUAUGGCAGGGGUAGAGGGAAUUUCUAGUGUAGCGGUGAAAUGCGUAGAUAUUAGAAAGAACACCGGUGGCGAAAGCGCUCUACUGGACCAUUACUGACACUGAGAGGCGAAAGCUAGGGGAGCGAAAGGGAUUAGAUACCCCUGUAGUCCUAGCUGUAAACGAUGGAAACUAGGUGUGGCUUGUAUCGACCCGAGCCGUGCCGUAGCUAACGCGUUAAGUUUCCCGCCUGGGGAGUACGCACGCAAGUGUGAAACUCAAAGGAAUUGACGGGGGCCCGCACAAGCGGUGGAGUAUGUGGUUUAAUUCGAUGCAACGCGAAGAACCUUACCAGGGCUUGACAUGUCGCGAAUCUCGGUGAAAGCUGAGAGUGCCUUCGGGAGCGCGAACACAGGUGGUGCAUGGCUGUCGUCAGCUCGUGUCGUGAGAUGUUGGGUUAAGUCCCGCAACGAGCGCAACCCUUAUUUUUAGUUACCAAUUCGUUGGGUUCUCUAGAAAGACUGCCGGUGACAAACCGGAGGAAGGUGAGGAUGACGUCAAGUCAGCAUGC
Molecule: ribosomal RNA, 660 nt
Filed under: uncultured marine haptophyte
Lineage: Eukaryota; Haptophyta
Description: bacterial SSU rRNA
Rfam family: Bacterial small subunit ribosomal RNA
Source: RNAcentral